AGUGAACGCUGGCGGUAGGCCUAACACAUGCAAGUCGAACGGCAGCACAGUAAGAGCUUGCUCUUACGGGUGGCGAGUGGCGGACGGGUGAGGAAUACAUCGGAAUCUACUUUUUCGUGGGGGAUAACGUAGGGAAACUUACGCUAAUACCGCAUACGACCUACGGGUGAAAGCAGGGGAUCUUCGGACCUUGCCCGAUUGAAUGAGCCGAUGUCGGAUUAGCUAGUUGGCGGGGUAAAGGCCCACCAAGGCGACGAUCCGUAGCUGGUCUGAGAGGAUGAUCAGCCCCACUUGAACUGAGACACGGUCCAGACCCCUACGGGAGGCAGCAGUGGGGAAUAUUGGACAAUGGGCGCAAGCCUGAUCCAGCCAUACCGCGUGGGUGAAGCAGGCCUUCGGGUUGUAAAGCCCUUUUGUUGGGAAAGACAAGCAGCAGGUUAAUACCCCGCUGUUCUGACGGUACCCAAAGAAUAAGCACCGGCUAACUUCGUG
Molecule: ribosomal RNA, 492 nt
Filed under: uncultured bacterium
Lineage: Bacteria
Description: partial 16S ribosomal RNA
Rfam family: Bacterial small subunit ribosomal RNA
Source: RNAcentral